GCGGGAAGAGCCCCCAGCCCGGCAGCCGGCCCCGCGGGAAGGCGCAGCCCGGGCUUCCGAACCCUGUGAACGCGCAGGUUCCUGGUCUUCCAAAUGGGCAGGAAUCGUCCUGCCCGCCCGGGGUGGGAGGCCACACGGGGGCACUGCGCCCGGGCGCGGCCCCAGGUGCUUUCCAAAUGCCCACUGCCGCUCUCAUCCGUACCAGCGAUGAUCAAGAAGGGGCCUGGUCGCCCGGGGAGGUGCCCCGGCCGGAAUCGACUCCGGAGACAACGCCGGGCGACGCCACCUGCGCAGGUCCCGGAGGGCCGCUUGAGUCUGUGUGCAGGGCGUGCUGUCUGUGGAAACGCGAGGGCACACUAGCACUUUCCUACUGCCUCUGUCACCGGGUCCCUCCAUCCGUGUCUCCUGUGCGGCCAGCGUCAGAGCCAUGGCGACGGAGGAGAAGAAGCCCGAGACCGAGGCCGCCAGAGCACAGCCAACCCCUUCGUCAUCCGCCACUCAGAGCAAGCCUACACCUGUGAAGCCAAACUAUGCUCUGAAGUUCACCCUUGCUGGCCACACCAAAGCAGUGUCCUCCGUGAAAUUCAGCCCGAAUGGAGAGUGGCUGGCAAGUUCAUCUGCUGAUAAACUUAUUAAAAUUUGGGGCGCGUAUGAUGGGAAAUUUGAGAAAACCAUAUCUGGUCACAAGCUGGGAAUAUCCGAUGUAGCCUGGUCGUCAGAUUCUAACCUUCUUGUUUCUGCCUCAGAUGACAAAACCUUGAAGAUAUGGGACGUGAGCUCGGUAAGUGACACUCAGUGCUUCUCUCCAGGGGAGACCGGCUGCAGGGCACGGGGCAGAUGCGG
Molecule: long non-coding RNA, 843 nt
Filed under: Pan troglodytes (chimpanzee)
Lineage: Eukaryota; Metazoa; Chordata; Mammalia; Primates; Hominidae
Description: long non-coding RNA NONPTRT017657
Source: RNAcentral